Salvelinus sp. IW2-2015 is the source of this 1811-nucleotide non-coding RNA. NCBI's taxonomy places the organism in Eukaryota, Metazoa, Chordata, Actinopteri, Salmoniformes, Salmonidae. The record is from RefSeq and is a predicted model, not a curated record.
CUGCUAUUCUCCAGCUGCCACUGCCUUCUCACUGACUGCCCUACUUGUUUUAUUUUGUGCUUCCUCUUUCCCUCUCUCUGUGCUGCUGCUGCUGGUGUGUGUGUGUGUGUGUAUCACUUUGUUUCCAUUGCCUUUUUCUGCUGUGCUGCAGGCACACAUAGUGUUGAGGAUUGGUGAAGAUACUGAUGGGGAUGCACAGCUGCACGGAGGAAGCAGAAGCCAGUUCUCACUCUUCAGCUCCCCAUCCCAACAACGGGACUACCGCCAUCCUCCCUCUCCGAAGAUGGGGGGGGGGGGGGGGGGUUGCCAUAUAGGAGCUCAGAAACAUGGAGUGGAUCCUAGAAGGGAGAGAGGAAUCUUUUCACUCCUGGUGCUGGAUGUCAUGCUUUGCUCUGCGUAGUGAUAGGAAGAGAGUGAGAUUACUCCAUACCCUGUAAGGCACACAAUCAACAAGGAUGGAAAAGGAGACUACAGUACAAUUCAGAAGAUACUAUUGUUCUUGGUUUGGAAGUAGAGGACAAGACAAGAAGAAGGCCUACUGAAAAUGUGUGCAUCCGGGUUGAGGUAGUAGGUUGUAUGGUUUAGAAUGACACCCUGGGAGUUAACGGUACAACCUUCUAGCUUUCCUUGGAGCACACUCAUGACAUCAAUCAAAGAGAUGACCCUCAUCAUGUCUUUCAAAGCAUAGCUUGGCUUGGUUUACAUUAGCCAACUGUUUUUGAGGGCCAUGAUGUCAAAAUCUCACCAUCAAUGUUUUUUCUCUGUGCACUAUUUUAAUUUAAGUGUGCAUGAUAAAAGAUGAUAAAUAUAGGAAGUAAAUUACCUAAAUGUAUUACAUAAUGGGAAAAGAGAGAGUUAUGUAUGUUUCUUAUUUUAAAUGUGCAGCUGUUUGAAGAAAACACAAAUAUCAAGUCUCAUGAUGAUCCACAAUUAGAUUAGCUUUGUUUUAUCUGUAUGCUCUCAUUAGAAUGGAUUGUUGGAGUGUUUUGUGAGGUGACAAUGGGUAUCGUGUUAUAGCCUUUCCUUUCCCUACACCGGCUUCUAAUUGACCUUUCCUGCCAGUAGACCCACGGUCAGUCUGCCUUCAGGGGCACAAAACCUUCAAUUAGUGUUAGGUUGAAAAGUUGUGUAUUUUUAGAGUGGUUGUCAUCCACUCUGGUAGGGAGGGAGGAAUGACCACACUGCGUCAAUCACACAGAGGAUCUGUAAUGUUAGACAUCCACUGUAUAGUAUCUCUCCAAGCACAAAAAAAGCACACAGCAAACAAAGGAUUUUUUUCAUUGUUCUUUCACUAUCCAUGAAUAUAUAGCAUAUUAAAGGAAUUUCAGAUUUAUCUGCAGAGGGAAUACAGUGAAUGCACGAUUCUUCAUGCUUUUGAAAAUGAAUUAUAGUGUCUUGCUAUCGUGUGGAUGUGUUUUUUGUAAGGCCAUUAUGUAAUAGAUCUAAUAUAAUUUGUAUUAUGUUAAAACAGCAAUUCACCAUUUACUGCUGGUGAUGGAGCUCGCAGUAAGGGAAUCUGUUACGUUUUUCACAUCCUAAUACUGUCAAGCUAUUCUGUUAUUGCUAAAGGUCAAUUUCAAUUUCUCACCAAGACAUCAUUUUGUGGUGGAACCUAUUUCACACAACCAGUUUCCCCUGGUUUCACAUUGCUCCCUGAGUCAUUUGAGCGUUCCUGUGUUUUCGUAGCCUCCGUCAGUCAAGGCGACUCCAGUGCAGGCCAGGGCCUUCCCACAUGAAAAGAUACACUGAUCAAAAAUAUAAAUGCAACAUGUAAAGUGUUGGUCCCAUGUUUUAUGAUCUGAAAUAAAAGA